GAUGAACGCUAGCUACAGGCUUAACACAUGCAAGUCGAGGGGAAACGACAUCGAAAGCUUGCUUUUGAUGGGCGUCGACCGGCGCACGGGUGAGUAACGCGUAUCCAACCUGCCCACCACUUGGGGAUAACCUUGCGAAAGUAAGACUAAUACCCAAUGACGUCUCUAGAAGACAUCUGAAAGAGAUUAAAGAUUUAUCGGUGAUGGAUGGGGAUGCGUCUGAUUAGCUUGUUGGCGGGGUAACGGCCCACCAAGGCGACGAUCAGUAGGGGUUCUGAGAGGAAGUCCCCCANAUUGGAACUGAGACACGGUCCAAACUCCUACGGGGAGCAGCAGUGAGGAAUAUUGGUCAAUGGACGGGAGUCUGAACCAGCCAAGUAGCGUGCAGGAUGACGGCCUAUGGGUUGUAAACUGCUUUUAUAGGGGGAUAAAGUGUGCCACGUGUGGCAUAUUGCAGGUACCCUAUGAAUAAGGACCGGCUAAUUCCGUG
This 490-nucleotide ribosomal RNA is filed under the name uncultured bacterium. RNAcentral describes it as "bacterial SSU rRNA". It matches the Rfam family "Bacterial small subunit ribosomal RNA", at positions 28 to 507 of the family's 1533-position model. The record is from RNAcentral.